CCUCUUUUUACGUAUAAAAGUGACUAGAAAUAUUUAGAAUAGUACAAUAAUGCAUGCAUGGCCAUGUAUGGUCCAACCUGAAUUAAUAGCAAAAAUAAUUGAGGCAUAUGCGUCGACUAGAAAACGUAUAGCGAGUAUGAGAUUUUAUCCAAUCAUAUUCACAACUUGAUAGCAUAUGCGCAAAUAUGCACCAUUCAUUC
Molecule: long non-coding RNA, 200 nt
Filed under: Gossypium raimondii (Peruvian cotton)
Lineage: Eukaryota; Viridiplantae; Streptophyta; Magnoliopsida; Malvales; Malvaceae
Description: long non-coding RNA (GRAI_LNC005974)
Source: RNAcentral